This is a non-coding RNA of Schistosoma margrebowiei, 45 nucleotides long. NCBI's taxonomy places the organism in Eukaryota, Metazoa, Platyhelminthes, Trematoda, Strigeidida, Schistosomatidae. The record is from Rfam.
AUCCGGCUGAUGAGUCCCAAAUAGGACGAAAUGCGCGUCCUGGAU